This 423-nucleotide ribosomal RNA is filed under the name uncultured bacterium. RNAcentral's name for it is "bacterial SSU rRNA". It matches the Rfam family "Bacterial small subunit ribosomal RNA", at positions 202 to 622 of the family's 1533-position model. The record is from RNAcentral.
AAGACCUUGUACUUUUGGAGCGGCCGAUGUCUGAUUAGCUAGUUGGUGGGGUAAUGGCCUACCAAAGCUUCGAUCAGUAGCUGGUCUGAGAGGACGGCCAGCCACACUGGGACUGAGACACGGCCCAGACUCCUACGGGAGGCAGCAGUGGGGAAUUUUGGACAAUGGGCGCAAGCCUGAUCCAGCCAUGCCGCGUGAGUGAAGAAGGCCUUCGGGUUGUAAAGCUCUUUCAGUCGGGAAGAAAAGGUUGCGACUAAUAAUCGCAAUUCAUGACGGUACCGGAAGAAGAAGCACCGGCUAACUACGUGCCAGCAGCCGCGGUAAUACGUAGGGUGCGAGCGUUAAUCGGAAUUACUGGGCGUAAAGGGUGCGCAGGCGGUUUUGUAAGUCAGAUGUGAAAUCCCCGGGCUUAACCUGGGAACU